This 254-nucleotide ribosomal RNA is filed under the name uncultured bacterium. Its description in RNAcentral is "partial 16S ribosomal RNA". It matches the Rfam family "Bacterial small subunit ribosomal RNA", at positions 524 to 775 of the family's 1533-position model. The record is from RNAcentral.
UACGGGGGCGGAGCAAGCGUUGUUCGGAUUUACUGGGCGUAAAGGCGCGUAGGCGGCGUGACAAGUCACUUGUGAAAUCUCCGGGCUUAACCCGGAACGGUCAGCCGAUACUGCAGGGCUAGAGUGCAGAAGGGGCAACUGGAAUUCUCGGUGUAGCGGUGAAAUGCGUAGAUAUCGAGAGGAACACCUGCGGCGAAAGGCGGGUUGCUGGGCUGACACUGACGCUGAAGUGCGAAAGCUAGGGGAGCGAACGG